CACGGUCACAGGUGAGGCGAGCUUAUAUCGUGAAGCGGAGGGUCCAAUUGGCUCUUCGGAGACCGAUCGAUCCAUCGUCUCUGAAAGAUUGAAAGGCUAUUCGAUCGCGCGCCGUCGCUUUCGCGCGCGGGAUUCGGCAUGGAUUGGGAGCAUAUCAUCAUAGGCCGACGACGUGAGCACCUGCAGAUUCUGAUUUGGGCGCGGGUUUUGUAUCGACUCUGAUGGCUCAACCAACCACACGGCGGCCUGGAUGGAAAUGGAAUGCAUGCAUCCAUCAGAUCAGACGUGCGGUGGUCGGUCGCUCAUGUGUCGGCGAGAGGCGGCGGAGGGAGUGAGGGACACGGGAGGGAGGCGGCGGUGUUCUUGCAGUCCCCUGUAGUGGACAUGCCUGCCGCUGCUUGGUGUUGGUGAGCUGCGCUCUUGGAGAAACUGCACCGGUCGCUUCCCCGCUGAUACCACAUCAAAAUAAUCAGCCGGACGAAAGCAUGUGCAACUAGAGCAAGAUGUGUGCAGUGAGUGUCAAAGGGGAUGGGGCUGCUGAUUGUGAGAAAUUUGCCAUGUACUACCGAUCUCUCUUUUCCCUGGAGAAUAGGUAUUCAGGUAGAGAAGUGGAACGAGCAGUUGAAGAAUGCGAUUUUUGCAGGGAUCCUCUAGAUUUUUUAAGAGUUAUCUUGGACCAGCCAACCGUUUAAUCAUUUGAGAUGUUUUCAUCUUAUCUGAAUUCAUGCUCGUCUUUUGCCACCCAAGAAGUGGCGGCGUAGAACAAGCUAGGGAUGCUGUUCUUUGUGUU
This is a long non-coding RNA of Sorghum bicolor (sorghum), 790 nucleotides long. RefSeq lists it as uncharacterized. The record is from RefSeq and is a predicted model, not a curated record. NCBI's taxonomy places the organism in Eukaryota, Viridiplantae, Streptophyta, Magnoliopsida, Poales, Poaceae. The transcript has 3 exons.